RNAcentral lists this ribosomal RNA (848 nucleotides) under uncultured bacterium. Its description in RNAcentral is "bacterial SSU rRNA". It matches the Rfam family "Bacterial small subunit ribosomal RNA", at positions 58 to 919 of the family's 1533-position model. The record is from RNAcentral.
CAAGUCGAACGAGCGAGAGAGAGCUUGCUUUCUCGAGCGAGUGGCGAACGGGUGAGUAACGCGUGAGGAACCUGCCUCAAAGAGGGGGACAACAGUUGGAAACGACUGCUAAUACCGCAUAAGCCCACGACCCGGCAUCGGGUUGAGGGAAAAGGAGCAAUCCGCUUUGAGAUGGCCUCGCGUCCGAUUAGCUAGUUGGUGAGGUAACGGCCCACCAAGGCGACGAUCGGUAGCCGGACUGAGAGGUUGAACGGCCACAUUGGGACUGAGACACGGCCCAGACUCCUACGGGAGGCAGCAGUGGGGAAUAUUGCACAAUGGGGGAAACCCUGAUGCAGCGACGCCGCGUGGAGGAAGAAGGUCUUCGGAUUGUAAACUCCUGUUGUUGAGGAAGAUAGUGACGGUACUCAACAAGGAAGUGACGGCUAACUACGUGCCAGCAGCCGCGGUAAAACGUAGGUCACAAGCGUUGUCCGGAAUUACUGGGUGUAAAGGGAGCGCAGGCGGGAAGACAAGUUGGAAGUGAAAUCCAUGGGCUCAACCCAUGAACUGCUUUCAAAACUGUUUUUCUUGAGUAGUGCAGAGGUAGGCGGAAUUCCCGGUGUAGCGGUGGAAUGCGUAGAUAUCGGGAGGAACACCAGUGGCGAAGGCGGCCUACUGGGCACCAACUGACGCUGAGGCUCGAAAGUGUGGGUAGCAAACAGGAUUAGAUACCCUGGUAGUCCACACCGUAAACGAUGAUUACUAGGUGUUGGAGGAUUGACCCCUUCAGUGCCGCAGUUAACACAAUAAGUAAUCCACCUGGGGAGUACGACCGCAAGGUUGAAACUCAAAGGAAUUGACGGGGG